This 254-nucleotide ribosomal RNA is filed under the name uncultured bacterium. RNAcentral's name for it is "partial 16S ribosomal RNA". It matches the Rfam family "Bacterial small subunit ribosomal RNA", at positions 524 to 776 of the family's 1533-position model. The record is from RNAcentral.
UACGGGGGGAGCAAGCGUUGUUCGGAUUUACUGGGCGUAAAGGGCGCGUAGGCGGCCAGCACAAGUCAGUUGUGAAAUCUCCGAGCUUAACUCGGAAAGGUCAACUGAUACUGUGCGGCUAGAGUGCGGAAGGGGCAACUGGAAUUCUUGGUGUAGCGGUGAAAUGCGUAGAUAUCAAGAGGAACACCUGCGGCGAAGGCGGGUUGCUGGGCCGACACUGACGCUGAGGCGCGAAGGUCAGGGGAGCAAACGGG